GAUGAAGAACGCAGCGAAAUGCGAUAAGUAAUGUGAAUUGCAGAAUUCAGUGAAUCAUCGAAUCUUUGAACGCACAUUGCGCCCACUAGUAUUCUGGUGGGCAUGCCUGUUCGAGCGUCAUUUCAACCCUCAAGCCUUAGUUGCUUGGUGUUGGGACUCGCGUUAAUUCGCGUUCCCCAAAUUGAUUGGCGGUCACGUCGAGCUUCCAUAGCGUAGUAGUAAAACCCUCGUUACUGGUAAUCGUCGCGGCCACGCCGUUAAACCCCAACUUCUGAAUGUUGACCUCGGAUCAGGUAGGAAUACCCGCUGAACUUAAGCAUAUCAAUAAGCGGAGGA
This 336-nucleotide unclassified non-coding RNA is filed under the name soil metagenome. RNAcentral describes it as "partial contains 5.8S ribosomal RNA, internal transcribed spacer 2, and large subunit ribosomal RNA". The stretch from base 1 to 120 matches the Rfam family "5.8S ribosomal RNA", at positions 35 to 154 of the family's 154-position model. The record is from RNAcentral.